This 2280-nucleotide ribosomal RNA is filed under the name Lactobacillus helveticus. RNAcentral describes it as "bacterial LSU rRNA". It matches the Rfam family "Bacterial large subunit ribosomal RNA", at positions 1 to 2295 of the family's 2925-position model. Lineage: Bacteria; Bacillati; Bacillota; Bacilli; Lactobacillales; Lactobacillaceae. The record is from RNAcentral.
GUAAGGUCAAGUAGAAAAGGGCGCACGGUGAAUGCCUAGGCACUAAAAGCCGAUGAAGGACGUGACGAACUACGAAAAGCUUCGGGGAGCGGUAAGUACGCAGUGAUCCGGAGAUGUCCGAAUGGGGGAACCCAAUGCAGCGAUGCAUUAUUGGUUGAUGAAUAGAUAGUCAAUCAAAGGAAUACGCAGUGAACUGAAACAUCUAAGUAGCUGCAGGAAGAGAAAGAAAAAUCGAUUUCCUUAGUAGCGGCGAGCGAAGAGGAAAGAGCCCAAACCAAGUGAUUUAUCAUUUGGGGUUGUAGGACUGCGACGUGGCAGCGUGAGCGAUAGCAGAAUUAUCUGGGAAGGUAAGCCAGAGAGGGUGAGAGCCCCGUAAGCGAAAUUGCAAGCGCGCCUAGCAGAAUCCUGAGUAGGCCGGGACACGAGAAAUCCCGGUUGAAACCGCGAGGACCAUCUCGCAAGGCUAAAUACUAAUUAGUGACCGAUAGUGAACCAGUACCGUGAGGGAAAGGUGAAAAGAACCCCGGAAGGGGAGUGAAAUAGAACCUGAAACCGUGUGUCUACAAGUAGUCAAAGCACAUUAAAGUGCAAUGGCGUGCCUUUUGUAGAAUGAACCGGCGAGUUACGUUAUCUAGCGAGGUUAAGUCAGAAAAGACGGAGCCGGAGCGAAAGCGAGUCUGAAUAGGGCGAGAAGUUAGGUGACGUAGACCCGAAACCAAGUGACCUACCCAUGACCAGGCUGAAGGCGUGGUAAAACGCGCUGGAGGGCCGAACCCACGUAAGUUAAAAAUUGCGGGGAUGAGUUGUGGGUAGCGGUGAAAUUCCAAACGAACUUGGAGAUAGCUGGUUCUCUCCGAAAUAGCUUUAGGGCUAGCCUCGUGGAGAGGAUAAUGGAGGUAGAGCUCUGUUUGGACUAGGGGCCCGUCAGGGGUUACUGAAUCCAGAUAAACUGCGAAUUCCAGAUAUCCAUACACGGGAGUCAGACUGCGAGUGAUAAGAUCCGUAGUCGAAAGGGAAACAGCCCAGAUCACCAGUUAAGGUCCCAAAAUCUAUGCUAAGUGGAAAAGGAUGUGGAGUUGCGCAGACAACUAGGACGUUGGCUCAGAAGCAGCCAUCAUUCAAAGAGUGCGUAAUAGCUCACUAGUCGAGUGACGCUGCGCCGAAAAUUUACCGGGGCUAAGCAUAGUACCGAAACUGUGGAUGUACGUAAGUACGUGGUAGGAGAGCGUUCUAAGUGCGGCGAAGGUUAACCGAGAGGAUAAUUGGAGCGCUUAGAAGUGAGAAUGCCGGUAUGAGUAGCGAAAGAUAGGUGAGAAUCCUAUCCGCCGAAAGACUAAGGUUUCCUGGGGCAGGCUCGUCCGCCCAGGGUAAGUCGGGACCUAAGGCAAGGCCGAAAGGCGUAGUCGAUGGAUAACAGGUAGAGAUUCCUGUACUGUGUUCAAUCGUUAAGAGCGAAGGAGGGACGCAGGAGGUGAAGCACGCAUCGCGAUGGAACGAUGUUCAAGCGACAAGUGCGGUUAAGAGUCAAAUGCUUCUAACCAGCAACACGAGUCGUGAUGAGGAGCGAAAUAAAAGUAGCGAAGGUGUGGUAGUCACACUGCCAAGAAAAGCUUCUAGCCAGAGAGAACAUACCCGUACCGCAAACCGACACAGGUAGUCGAGUGGAGAACACUAAGGUGAGCGAGAGAACUCUCGUUAAGGAACUCGGCAAAAUGACCCCGUAACUUCGGAAGAAGGGGUGCUGGCCAUGAGAAUGGUUAGCCGCAGUGAAUAGGCCCAAACAACUGUUUAUCAAAAACACAGGUCUCUGCAAAAUCGUAAGAUGACGUAUAGAGGCUGACACCUGCCCGGUGCUGGAAGGUUAAGAGGAGAGCUUAGCGCAAGCGAAGGUUUGAAUUGAAGCCCCAGUAAACGGCGGCCGUAACUAUAACGGUCCUAAGGUAGCGAAAUUCCUUGUCGGGUAAGUUCCGACCUGCACGAAAGGUGUAAUGAUUUGGGCACUGUCUCAACGAGAGACUCGGUGAAAUUAUAAUACCCGUGAAGAUGCGGGUUACCCGCGACAGGACGGAAAGACCCCAUGGAGCUUCACUGUAGCUUGAUAUUGAGUAUCUUUUAAACAUGUACAGGAUAGGUAGGAGCCAAGGAAAGCAGGACGCUAGUUUUGCUGGAGGCAAUGUUGGGAUACUACCCUUGUUUGAAGGAUGCUCUAACCUCGACCUGUAAGCCAGGCCAGGGACAGUGUCAGGUGGGCAGUUUGACUGGGGCGGUCGCCUCCUAAAG